RNAcentral lists this long non-coding RNA (323 nucleotides) under Ictidomys tridecemlineatus (thirteen-lined ground squirrel). Its description in RNAcentral is "lncRNA (ENSSTOG00000031950.1)". The record is from RNAcentral. Lineage: Eukaryota; Metazoa; Chordata; Mammalia; Rodentia; Sciuridae.
AACUAAUGAUGCAAGAUUUUUUUUUUUUUUACAAAAAAUCAAUAAGUGAUAAAAAUGUCUCAUCCAUACACAAUCCUGUGAAGGCUCAGCCAGUCUUCUCUUACCCGCUCUCCCCGAGUUUGGGAUUGGAUGGAGGAAAUGCAAUCAGUCAUGGCCUGCUGCUUCACCUCAGGGGUGACCACACUCCAAUGUCAGCUCCUGGCUCAGUGCUUAACUGCACUUGGCAACCAACCCUGCUAGAGGAGGAAGGGGAGUGGGCCUGCAAUCACAGAAAGACGGCAAAGAGAACCUUCACAGGGGUUGUCUCACACAAAAUUAAAUGA